AGAUUGAACGCUGGCGGCAUGCCUUACACAUGCAAGUCGAACGGCAGCACGGGAGCAAUCCUGGUGGCGAGUGGCGAACGGGUGAGUAAUAUAUCGGAACGUGCCCAGUCGUGGGGGAUAACGCAGUGAAAGCUGUGCUAAUACCGCAUACGAUCUAUGGAUGAAAGCGGGGGACUCGCAAGAGCCUCGCGCGAUUGGAGCGGCCGAUAUCAGAUUAGCUAGUUGGUGGGGUAAAAAGCCCACCAAGGCGACGAUCUGUAGCUGGUCUGAGAGGACGACCAGCCACACUGGAACUGAGACACGGUCCAGACUCCUACGGGAGGCAGCAGUGGGGAAUUUGGACAAUGGCGCAAGCCUGAUCCAGCAAUGCCGCGUGCAGGAUGAAGGCCUUACGGUUGUAAACGUGUCUUUUGUAACCGGUAAGUAAAGGUCUUACUUUACUAAUAAAGAGGAAUACAUAGACGUAACCGUAAGAA
RNAcentral lists this ribosomal RNA (476 nucleotides) under uncultured soil bacterium. Its description in RNAcentral is "bacterial SSU rRNA". It matches the Rfam family "Bacterial small subunit ribosomal RNA", at positions 26 to 486 of the family's 1533-position model. The record is from RNAcentral.